RNAcentral lists this ribosomal RNA (254 nucleotides) under uncultured bacterium. RNAcentral describes it as "partial 16S ribosomal RNA". It matches the Rfam family "Bacterial small subunit ribosomal RNA", at positions 79 to 334 of the family's 1533-position model. The record is from RNAcentral.
CUUUCUUUGCUGGCGACCGGCGCACGGGUGAGUAACACGUAUCCAACCUGCCCUUUACUCGGGGAUAGCCUUUCGAAAGAAAGAUUAAUACCCGAUAGUAUAAUGAUUCCGCAUGGUUUCAUUAUUAAAGGAUUCCGGUAAAGGAUGGGGAUGCGUUCCAUUAGGUUGUUGGUGAGGUAACGGCUCACCAAGCCUUCGAUGGAUAGGGGUUCUGAGAGGAAGGUCCCCCACAUUAGAACUGAGACACGGUCCAA